This 287-nucleotide long non-coding RNA is filed under the name Fukomys damarensis (Damara mole-rat). RNAcentral's name for it is "lncRNA (ENSFDAG00000027490.1)". The record is from RNAcentral. Lineage: Eukaryota; Metazoa; Chordata; Mammalia; Rodentia; Bathyergidae.
UUUUUCCAGGCUCCUGCUUUAUCAUUGUUUUCCUGACUUGUUAGAUGUGUUGUCUUUCUUGGAGUUAUUACUCUAAUGUAAGGUGAAGCAAGUAACAAUAACAAACCAACUCAUCCUCUUGAUGCAAACUUUACAAUCAACUCCACCGUGUGAUUCCAGCAGUGUUGGAUGGAUGCCUUAAAAGGUUUGAAAUUCAACCAAAAAUCCAAGGGAAACCAGUAAAAGUUUGGAUCUGCAUCUGACAAACACAUCUUUGUACAGAGGCCAGAGAGUGAAAUAGAAAGGUA